UUGCCUGCCUUAAUCCCCUUCUAUCCACCAUUUAGACACUUUCCUUCAACAUGGAAGAUUGGGUUUUCCGU
Non-coding RNA from Caenorhabditis elegans, 71 nucleotides. The record is from Ensembl. Lineage: Eukaryota; Metazoa; Nematoda; Chromadorea; Rhabditida; Rhabditidae.